GAAAUGCGAUAAGUAGUGUGAAUUGCAGAAUUCAGUGAAUCAUCGAAUCUUUGAACGCACAUUGCGCCCCUUGGUAUUCCAUGGGGCAUGCCUGUUCGAGCGUCAUUUGUACCCUCAAGCGUUGCUUGGUGUUGGGUGUUUGUCCUCUCCCUUGCGUUUGGACUCGCCUUAAAACAAUUGGCAGCCAGUGUUUUGGUGUAGGAGCGCAGCACAAGUCGCGAUUCUUACCUUGCAGCACUUGCGCCCAUGAGUUAUUUUAUCACGUUUGACCUCGGAUCAGGUAGGGAUACCCGCUGAACUUAA
Molecule: unclassified non-coding RNA, 303 nt
Filed under: uncultured Pleosporales
Lineage: Eukaryota; Fungi; Ascomycota; Dothideomycetes; Pleosporales
Description: sequence contains ITS1
Rfam family: 5.8S ribosomal RNA (bases 1-105)
Source: RNAcentral